UUGAAAGGGAAACGAUUGAAGUCAGUCGUACCAGCGGGAAUCAACCCUUCGAGUGGGGGUUUUGGAGUUUUGAAGAGUGUCAAAACCUUUGAGAUUUCAAAAUAUUCGCUCUUUUGGUGUACUUUCUCGUGGGUAGGUUAACAUCGAUUUUGAUCAUCAUAAAAAGAUUGGAGGAAUGUAGCUUCGAUCUUGUAUUGAAGUGUUAUAGCCUUUGGUAAAUGUGAUGAUUAGGAUCGAGGAUUGCAACGAAUACCCUUUUGGGCUAUCCGCCUGAUCUCUGAUACGUGGCCUUGGUAUCGAAAGCGUGCUUAUGGUAUUGAGGUAUUACGGUCAAAAGGUUAGAACGGAUUACAUUCGUUAAGGAUGUUGACGUA
Molecule: ribosomal RNA, 374 nt
Filed under: uncultured Glomeromycotina
Lineage: Eukaryota; Fungi; Glomeromycota
Description: LSU rRNA
Source: RNAcentral